RNAcentral lists this transfer RNA (117 nucleotides) under Siphoviridae sp. ctwQg18. RNAcentral's name for it is "tRNA-His". It matches the Rfam family "tRNA". From Rfam's summary of the family: Transfer RNA (tRNA) molecules are approximately 80 nucleotides in length. Their secondary structure includes four short double-helical elements and three loops (D, anti-codon, and T loops). The record is from RNAcentral. Lineage: Duplodnaviria; Heunggongvirae; Uroviricota; Caudoviricetes.
GGAGAGGUAGCGGAACUGGCAGACGCAAUUUGUAUUGUGAAAACGUAUCAUUUUAAUAAUGUUGCAAAUACACCCAAAGAGGCAAAUGUAGUGUAGGUUCAAAUCCUACCCUCUCCA